This 206-nucleotide long non-coding RNA is filed under the name Sorghum bicolor (sorghum). RNAcentral describes it as "long non-coding RNA (SBIC_LNC007264)". Lineage: Eukaryota; Viridiplantae; Streptophyta; Magnoliopsida; Poales; Poaceae. The record is from RNAcentral.
UAAAAAAUUCGUCUCGCAAAUUACUUUUAAACUUUAUUUUUAAUUUCGUAAAUAUUUUAUAUUUAGUACUUUAUGUAUGUGUCUAAACAAUUAAUAUGAUGAAAGUUAAAGUUUAAUGACGCCAACCAAAGAGAGCAUAGGCCUUGUUUAAUUCACCCUAAAAACCAAAAAAAAUUUAAAAAUUUUUGUCACAUCGAAUCUUGCGG